RNAcentral lists this ribosomal RNA (456 nucleotides) under uncultured Lachnospiraceae bacterium. Its description in RNAcentral is "bacterial SSU rRNA". It matches the Rfam family "Bacterial small subunit ribosomal RNA", at positions 100 to 573 of the family's 1533-position model. Lineage: Bacteria; Bacillati; Bacillota; Clostridia; Lachnospirales; Lachnospiraceae. The record is from RNAcentral.
GGACGGGUGAGUAACGCGUGGGUGACCUGCCCCAUACCGGGGGAUAACAGCUGGAAACGGCUGCUAAUACCGCAUAAGCGCACAGAGCUGCAUGGCUCGGUGUGAAAAACUCCGGUGGUAUGGGAUGGGCCCGCGUCUGAUUAGGCAGUUGGCGGCGGUAACGGCCCACCAAACCGACGAUCAGUAGCCGGCCUGAGAGGGCGACCGGCCACAUUGGGACUGAGACACUGCCCAAACUCCUACGGGAGGCAGCAGUGGGGAAUAUUGCACAAUGGGGGAAACCCUGAUGCACCGACGCCGCGUGAGCGAAGAAUUAUUUCGGUAUGUAAAGCUCUAUCAGCAGGGAAGAUAAUGACGGUAACUGACUAAGAAGCCCCGGCUAACUACGUGCCAGCAGCCGCGGUAAUACGUAGGGGGCAAGCGUUAUCCGGAUUUACUGGGUGUAAAGGGAGCGUA